Molecule: non-coding RNA, 27 nt
Filed under: Rattus norvegicus (Norway rat)
Lineage: Eukaryota; Metazoa; Chordata; Mammalia; Rodentia; Muridae
Source: RNAcentral
UGAUCCUUUCUGCAAACACCCAGCCUU